UCCCUGGAGGACUAGUGGUUAGGCCACGGCGCUCUCUCACUGCUGCGGCCCGGGUUUGAUUCCCAGCCAGAGAA
This is a non-coding RNA of Pangasianodon gigas (Mekong giant catfish), 74 nucleotides long. Lineage: Eukaryota; Metazoa; Chordata; Actinopteri; Siluriformes; Pangasiidae. The record is from the annotation of a GenBank genome assembly.